RNAcentral lists this ribosomal RNA (90 nucleotides) under Bacillus altitudinis. Lineage: Bacteria; Bacillati; Bacillota; Bacilli; Caryophanales; Bacillaceae. RNAcentral also lists the same sequence under 1 other name. The record is from RNAcentral.
ACCCGUUCCCAUACCGAACACGGAAGUUAAGCUCUUCAGCGCCGAUGGUAGUUGGGGGUUUCCCCCUGUGAGAGUAGGACGCCGCCAAGC